CGGCCGCCGCCCCACUGCGGCCCAGGCUUUUCAAUCGUGACGGGUGAAAAAGUUGGAGAAGUUGGGUAUCGAUCCCAAUACCUACCGCAUGCUAAGCGGUCGCUCUACCAUCUGAGCUACAUCCCCGACGCGCUGGCGCUCUAAUACACUACGAUAGAGAAAAAUGCUUCUUCUGCAAGGUUCGAACCCUGAACGAAUCCCUCCCUGGCUUUGAAACGGCAUCCUUUGGGCUAAAAAUGAACGCCGCUGCAUCCGAGCUGCGAAAAGGGGACGCAACUCAGCAAACCGCUGAUUAAUAAUGACAACAGGCUUUGAUUUUGUUAGGGGUAGCGUUGGUAUAUCUUCUCGGCUAUUUAGCUAAGAUCAUGUUUAUAAACUGUUCUUAUCAGAGUAACUCCUGAUACUGCCUUCGGGCAAAGGAAUAGAAAUUAUAACCCAAGGUUGUUUCCCUGGAGUUCCACGUUUCCAGGGGAGCAACUCUUUUUUUCGCCCGGGAACAGAACAUCUGUAGCAAACGCCGCAAAAGCGCACGCUCAUUAAUGAGUGCGAGAAGGAAAGCUGCUCAAGUGGUGGGGGAACGGCCACCAAGGUGCGUCCCUUCACGCUUCGAGCAGCGUGCAACUCCCCCCCUGCCUCUUUGAUCACUCAGCUCUGGAAACGCUCUCAUGCCAGCGGCGGCAGCCCCUCAUUACGUCACCUCGCGGAGAACGAGCCCACACAGCGCUUUGCUUGGCAGCAAACGUCCUGUUUCUUUUGCCCUAAGGACUGGCAGUCGCUUGCUCUCAACAGCAACGGCGCACCAUGGUGCCUGCUUGCAUCCGUGGGCUGUCUUGCAGCUGCAAGGACUCUAUGCAGCACGCCGUUGCUGCCGCGUCGCUGAUGAAGCGCAAACAGAAUCCCUCACCCGUGCAUCGGCGCCGCAUCGUAAAAAAAAAAAAAGAACACGGAAUCUCCCUCUCUUUCUCUCUUUUCUCGUCUCCUCACACGCUGGCAAAUCUACGUUGCAG
Molecule: transfer RNA, 1007 nt
Filed under: Leishmania donovani
Lineage: Eukaryota; Euglenozoa; Kinetoplastea; Trypanosomatida; Trypanosomatidae
Description: gene:tRNA.31.001(tRNA-product:tRNA_alanine)
Rfam family: U2 spliceosomal RNA (bases 338-483)
Source: RNAcentral